GUCGAACGAAGUAGCAAUACUUAGUGGCAGACGGGUGAGUAACAUGUAGGUAUCUUCCCAUUGGUGAGGAAUAACACGAGGAAACUUGUGCUAAUACCUCAUAAGUCUUUACGGAGAAAGCUUUAUGCGCCGAUGGAUGAGCCUGCACUUGAUUAGUUUGUUGGUAGGGUAAUGGCCUACCAAGACAAUGAUCAAUAGCUGAUUUGAGAGGAUGAUCAGCCACAUUGGGACUGAGACACGGCCCAAACUCCUACGGGAGGCAGCAGUAGGGAAUCUUGCACAAUGGGGGAAACCCUGAUGCAGCGAUGCCGCGUGAGUGAAGAAGGCCUUUGGGUUGUAAAGCUCUUUCGUCGGGGAAGAAAAUGACUGUACCCGAAUAAGAAGGUCCGGUUAACUUCGUGCCAGCAGCCGCGGUAAUACGAAGGGACCUAGCGUAGUUCGGAAUUACUGGGCUUAAAGAGUUCGUAGGUGGUUAAAAAAGCUGGUGGUGAAAUCCCAGAGCUUAACUCUGGAACUGCCAUCAAAACUUUUUAGCUAGAGUAUGAUAGAGGAAAGCAGAAUUUCUAGUGUAGAGGUGAAAUUCGUAGAUAUUAGAAAGAAUACCAAUUGCGAAGGCAGCUUUCUGGAUCACUACUGACACUGAGGAACGAAAGCAUGGGUAGCGAAGAGGAUUAGAUACCCUCGUAGUCCAUGCCGUAUACGAUGUGUGUUAGACGUUGGAAAUUUAUUUUCUGUGUCGCAGCGAAAGCAAUAAACACACCGCCUGGGGAGUACGACCGCAAGGUUAAAACUCAAAUGAAUUGACGGGGACCCGCACAAGUAGUGGAGCAUGUGGUUUAAUUCGAAGAUACGCGCAGAACCUUACCAACACUUGACAUGUUCGUCGCGACUUUAAGAGAUUAAAGUUUUCGGUU
RNAcentral lists this ribosomal RNA (914 nucleotides) under uncultured marine bacterium. Its description in RNAcentral is "bacterial SSU rRNA". It matches the Rfam family "Bacterial small subunit ribosomal RNA", at positions 61 to 1021 of the family's 1533-position model. The record is from RNAcentral.